GAUGAACGCUGGCGGCGUGCCUAAUACAUGCAAGUCGAGCGAACGGACGAGAAGCUUGCUUCUCUGAUGUUAGCGGCGGACGGGUGAGUAACACGUGGAUAACCUACCUAUAAGACUGGGAUAACUUCGGGAAACCGGAGCUAAUACCGGAUAAUAUUUUGAACCGCAUGGUUCAAAAGUGAAAGACGGUCUUGCUGUCACUUAUAGAUGGAUCCGCGCUGCAUUAGCUAGUUGGUAAGGUAACGGCUUACCAAGGCAACGAUGCAUAGCCGACCUGAGAGGGUGAUCGGCCACACUGGAACUGAGACACGGUCCAGACUCCUACGGGAGGCAGCAGUAGGGAAUCUUCCGCAAUGGGCGAAAGCCUGACGGAGCAAUGCCGCGUGAGUGAUGAAGGUCUUCGGAUCGUAAAACUCUGUUAUUAGGGAAGAACAUAUGUGUAAGUAACUGUGCACAUCUUGACGGUACCUAAUCAGAAAGCCACGGCUAACUACGUGC
This 498-nucleotide ribosomal RNA is filed under the name uncultured bacterium. RNAcentral describes it as "partial 16S ribosomal RNA". It matches the Rfam family "Bacterial small subunit ribosomal RNA", at positions 28 to 508 of the family's 1533-position model. The record is from RNAcentral.